GACGAACGCUGGCGGCGUGCUUAACACAUGCAAGUCGAACGGGCCUGUCUUCUUUUUUGGGGGUGGGUUGAGUGGCGAACGGGUGAGUAUCACGGGAGUAACCUGCCCUUCGGUCCUGGAUAACCGCUUGAAAGGGCGGCUAAUACGGGGUGGUCCGGUUGGUCCGCAUGGGCUGGUCGGGAUAGAUUCACUGUUUUUGGUGUUUCGGCGGGGGAUGGGCUCGCGGCCUAUCAGCUUGUGGGUGGGGUGAUGGCCGACCAAGGCGGUGACGGGUAGCCGGCCUGAGGGGGUGGGCGGCCACACUGGGACCGCGGUACGGCCCAGACUCCUGCGGGAGGCAGCAGUGGGGGGUAGUGCACGAUGGGCGGAAGCCUGAUGCAGCGACGUCGCGUGAGGGAUGGCUGCCUUCGGGUUGUGAACCUCUGUUUCCGGUGGUGAAGGCCCUGUCCGUGUGGUGGGGUUGACGGUAGCCGGGGAUGAAGCGCCGGCUAACUACGUG
This 499-nucleotide ribosomal RNA is filed under the name uncultured bacterium. RNAcentral describes it as "partial 16S ribosomal RNA". It matches the Rfam family "Bacterial small subunit ribosomal RNA", at positions 28 to 507 of the family's 1533-position model. The record is from RNAcentral.